UAAAAGAUAGGCUAAUUAUUUAAGCCUUUGGGAUGAUACUCCAAGGAUAAAAUUUAUUUUUCUUUUAA
Molecule: transfer RNA, 68 nt
Filed under: Gastroptychus investigatoris
Lineage: Eukaryota; Metazoa; Arthropoda; Malacostraca; Decapoda; Chirostylidae
Description: tRNA-Ile
Source: RNAcentral